GGCAGUCAGAGGCGAUGAAGGACGUGCUAAUCUGCGAUAAGCGUCGGUAAGGUGAUAUGAACCGUUAUAACCGGCGAUUUCCGAAUGGGGAAACCCAGUGUGAUUCGUCACACUAUCAUUAACUGAAUCCAUAGGUUAAUGAGGCGAACCGGGGGAACUGAAACAUCUAAGUACCCCGAGGAAAAGAAAUCAACCGAGAUUCCCCCAGUAGCGGCGAGCGAACGGGGAGCAGCCCAGAGCCUGAAUCAGUGUGUGUGUUAGUGGAAGCGUCUGGAAAGGCGCGCGAUACAGGGUGACAGCCCCGUACACAAAAAUGCACAUGCUGUGAGCUCGAUGAGUAGGGCGGGACACGUGGUAUCCUGUCUGAAUAUGGGGGGACCAUCCUCCAAGGCUAAAUACUCCUGACUGACCGAUAGUGAACCAGUACCGUGAGGGAAAGGCGAAAAGAACCCCGGCGAGGGGAGUGAAAAAGAACCUGAAACCGUGUACGUACAAGCAGUGGGAGCCUCUUUAUGGGGUGACUGCGUACCUUUUGUAUAAUGGGUCAGCGACUUAUAUUCUGUAGCAAGGUUAACCGAAUAGGGGAGCCGAAGGGAAACCGAGUCUUAACUGGGCGUUAAGUUGCAGGGUAUAGACCCGAAACCCGGUGAUCUAGCCAUGGGCAGGUUGAAGGUUGGGUAACACUAACUGGAGGACCGAACCGACUAAUGUUGAAAAAUUAGCGGAUGACUUGUGGCUGGGGGUGAAAGGCCAAUCAAACCGGGAGAUAGCUGGUUCUCCCCGAAAGCUAUUUAGGUAGCGCCUCGUGAACUCAUCUCCGGGGGUAGAGCACUGUUUCGGCAAGGGGGUCAUCCCGACUUACCAACCCGAUGCAAACUGCGAAUACCGGAGAAUGUUAUCACGGGAGACACACGGCGGGUGCUAACGUCCGUCGUGAAGAGGGAAACAACCCAGACCGCCAGCUAAGGUCCCAAAGUCAUGGUUAAGUGGGAAACGAUGUGGGAAGGCCCAGACAGCCAGGAUGUUGGCUUAGAAGCAGCCAUCAUUUAAAGAAAGCGUAAUAGCUCACUGGUCGAGUCGGCCUGCGCGGAAGAUGUAACGGGGCUAAACCAUGCACCGAAGCUGCGGCAGCGACGCUGAUGCGUUGUUGGGUAGGGGAGCGUUCUGUAAGCCUGUGAAGGUGUGCUGUGAGGCAUGCUGGAGGUAUCAGAAGUGCGAAUGCUGACAUAAGUAACGAUAAAGCGGGUGAAAAGCCCGCUCGCCGGAAGACCAAGGGUUCCUGUCCAACGUUAAUCGGGGCAGGGUGAGUCGACCCCUAAGGCGAGGCCGAAAGGCGUAGUCGAUGGGAAACAGGUUAAUAUUCCUGUACUUGGUGUUACUGCGAAGGGGGGACGGAGAAGGCUAUGUUGGCCGGGCGACGGUUGUCCCGGUUUAAGCGUGUAGGCUGGUUUUCCAGGCAAAUCCGGAAAAUCAAGGCUGAGGCGUGAUGACGAGGCACUACGGUGCUGAAGCAACAAAUGCCCUGCUUCCAGGAAAAGCCUCUAAGCAUCAGGUAACAUCAAAUCGUACCCCAAACCGACACAGGUGGUCAGGUAGAGAAUACCAAGGCGCUUGAGAGAACUCGGGUGAAGGAACUAGGCAAAAUGGUGCCGUAACUUCGGGAGAAGGCACGCUGAUAUGUAGGUGAAGUCCCUCGCGGAUGGAGCUGAAAUCAGUCGAAGAUACCAGCUGGCUGCAACUGUUUAUUAAAAACACAGCACUGUGCAAACACGAAAGUGGACGUAUACGGUGUGACGCCUGCCCGGUGCCGGAAGGUUAAUUGAUGGGGUCAGCGCAAGCGAAGCUCUUGAUCGAAGCCCCGGUAAACGGCGGCCGUAACUAUAACGGUCCUAAGGUAGCGAAAUUCCUUGUCGGGUAAGUUCCGACCUGCACGAAUGGCGUAAUGAUGGCCAGGCUGUCUCCACCCGAGACUCAGUGAAAUUGAACUCGCUGUGAAGAUGCAGUGUACCCGCGGCAAGACGGAAAGACCCCGUGAACCUUUACUAUAGCUUGACACUGAACAUUGAGCCUUGAUGUGUAGGAUAGGUGGGAGGCUUAGAAGUGUGGACGCCAGUCUGCAUGGAGCCGACCUUGAAAUACCACCCUUUAAUGUUUGAUGUUCUAACGUUGACCCGUAAUCCGGGUUGCGGACAGUGUCUGGUGGGUAGUUUGACUGGGGCGGUCUCCUCCUAAAGAGUAACGGAGGAGCACGAAGGUUGGCUAAUCCUGGUCGGACAUCAGGAGGUUAGUGCAAUGGCAUAAGCCAGCUUGACUGCGAGCGUGACGGAGCGAGCAGGUGCGAAAGCAGGUCAUAGUGAUCCGGUGGUUCUGAAUGGAAGGGCCAUCGCUCAACGGAUAAAAGGUACUCCGGGGAUAACAGGCUGAUACCGCCCAAGAGUUCAUAUCGACGGCGGUGUUUGGCACCUCGAUGUCGGCUCAUCACAUCCUGGGGCUGAAGUAGGUCCCAAGGGUAUGGCUGUUCGCCAUUUAAAGUGGUACGCGAGCUGGGUUUAGAACGUCGUGAGACAGUUCGGUCCCUAUCUGCCGUGGGCGCUGGAGAACUGAGGGGGGCUGCUCCUAGUACGAGAGGACCGGAGUGGACGCAUCACUGGUGUUCGGGUUGUCAUGCCAAUGGCACUGCCCGGUAGCUAAAUGCGGAAGAGAUAAGUGCUGAAAGCAUCUAAGCACGAAACUUGCCCCGAGAUGAGUUCUCCCUGACUCCUUGAGAGUCCUGAAGGAACGUUGAAGACGACGACGUUGAUAGGCCGGGUGUGUAAGCGCAGCGAUGCGUUGAGCUAACCGGUACUAAUGAACCGUGAGGCUUAACCUU
RNAcentral lists this ribosomal RNA (2869 nucleotides) under Escherichia coli 2-210-07_S4_C1. RNAcentral's name for it is "bacterial LSU rRNA". It matches the Rfam family "Bacterial large subunit ribosomal RNA". The record is from RNAcentral. Lineage: Bacteria; Pseudomonadati; Pseudomonadota; Gammaproteobacteria; Enterobacterales; Enterobacteriaceae.